Molecule: ribosomal RNA, 484 nt
Filed under: Pseudoalteromonas sp. B7-2
Lineage: Bacteria; Pseudomonadati; Pseudomonadota; Gammaproteobacteria; Alteromonadales; Pseudoalteromonadaceae
Description: bacterial SSU rRNA
Rfam family: Bacterial small subunit ribosomal RNA
Source: RNAcentral
CCUCCUUUAGAGUUUGGAUCCUGGCUCAGAUUGAACGCUGGCGGCAGGCCUAACACAUGCAAGUCGAGCGGUAACAUUUCUAGCUUGCUAGAAGAUGACGAGCGGCGGACGGGUGAGUAAUGCUUGGGAACAUGCCUUGAGGUGGGGGACAACCAUUGGAAACGAUGGCUAAUACCGCAUAAUGUCUACGGACCAAAGGGGGCUUCGGCUCUCGCCUUUAGAUUGGCCCAAGUGGGAUUAGCUAGUUGGUGAGGUAACGGCUCACCAAGGCGACGAUCCCUAGCUGGUUUGAGAGGAUGAUCAGCCACACUGGAACUGAGACACGGUCCAGACUCCUACGGGAGGCAGCAGUGGGGAAUAUUGCACAAUGGGCGCAAGCCUGAUGCAGCCAUGCCGCGUGUGUGAAGAAGGCCUUAGGGUUGUAAAGCACUUUCAGUCAGGAGGAAAGGUUAGUAGUUAAUACCCUGCUAAGCUGUGACGUACU